Molecule: ribosomal RNA, 407 nt
Filed under: uncultured bacterium
Lineage: Bacteria
Description: partial 16S ribosomal RNA
Rfam family: Bacterial small subunit ribosomal RNA
Source: RNAcentral
AUUGAACGCUAGCGGGAUGCUUUACACAUGCAAGUCGAACGGAGUGGCGGACGGGUGAGAAAUAUAUCGGACCGUGCCCUGUAGCGGGGGUUAACUACUCGAAAGAGUGGUUAAUACCGCAUACCAUUGGAGAGGACGUGAACGGAUUAGCUAGUUGGUAGGGUAAAGGCUCACCAAGGCAACGAUCCGUAGCGGGUUUGAGAGGACGACCAGCCACACGGGAACUGAGACACGGCCCAGACUCCUACGGGAGGCAGCAGUGGGGAAUUUUGGGCAAUGGGGGAAACCCUGAUGCAGCCAUCCCGCGUGUAUGAUGAAGGUCUUCGGAUUGUAAAGUACUGUUGGCAGAGAAGCGGUAUCUGCAGAAUAAGCACCGGCUAACUACGUGCCAGCCGCCGCGGUAAUUC